GUCUAAGUAUAAGCAAUUAUACCGUGAAACUGCGAAUGGCUCAUUAAAUCAGUUAUCGUUUAUUUGAUAGUACCUUACUACUUGGAUAACCGUGGUAAUUCUAGAGCUAAUACAUGCUAAAAACCCCAACUUCGGGAGGGGUGUAUUUAUUAGAUAAAAAACCAAUGCCCUUCGGGGCUCCUUGGUGAUUCAUAAUAACUUCUCAGAUCGCAUGGCUUUACGCCGGCGACGGUUCAUUCAAAUUUCUGCCCUAUCAACUUUCGAUGGUAAGGUAGUGGCUUACCAUGGUUUCAACGGGUAACGGGGAAUUAGGGUUCGAUUCCGGAGAGGGGGCCGGAGGAACGGCCACCACAUCCAAGGAAGGCAGCAGGCGCGCAAAUUACACAAUUCCGAUACGGAGAUGUAGUGACAAUAAAUACUGAUACAGGGCUCUUUUGGGUCUUGUAAUUGGAAUGAGUACAAUUUAAACCUCUUAACGAGGAACAAUUGGAGGGCAAGUCUGGUGCCAGCAGCCGCGGUAAUUCCAGCUCCAAUAGCGUAUAUUAAAGUUGUUGCAGUUAAAAAGCUCGUAGUUGAACCUUUGGCCUGGCUGGCAGGUCCGCCUCACCGCGUGCACUUGUCCGGCCGGGCCUUUUCUUCUGGAGAACCGCAUGCCCUUCACUGGGUGUGUUGGGGACCAGGACUUUUACUUUGAAAAAAUUAGAGUGUUCAAAGCAGGCCUUUGCUCGAAUACGUUAGCAUGGAAUAAUAGAAUAGGACGUGCGGUCCUAUUUUGUUGGUUUCUAGGACCGCCGUAAUGAUUAAUAGGGACAGUCGGGGGCAUCAGUAUUCAAUUGUCAGAGGUGAAAUUCUUGGAUUUAUUGAAGACUAACUACUGCGAAAGCAUUUGCCAAGGAUGUUUUCAUUAAUCAGUGAACGAAAGUUAGGGGAUCGAAGACGAUCAGAUACCGUCGUAGUCUUAACCAUAAACUAUGCCGACUAGGGAUCGGGCGGUGUUUCUAUUGUGACCCGCUCGGCACCUUACGAGAAAUCAAAGUGUUUGGGUUCUGGGGGGAGUAUGGUCGCAAGGCUGAAACUUAAAGAAAUUGACGGAAGGGCACCACCAGGCGUAAACGCAGUAACUCUGCGCCGGAAAGCAGCCCGAAAGGGUCGGUGGUUGCCGUCGUUGAAUGCUAGUCAUGUCCGUCCUCUCCGGGGGCCGGACUUGGCGACAUGCCUAAAUUGCGGGGAACUCGCGAAGCUUCUGCUACCAAGCCGCGCAUCGAAAGGUGCGCGGUGGCCAGGGUAAUGACCUCGGGUACGGUAACAACGCAGGGGUAUGUGAUGAUCCGCAGCCAAGCCCCUCCUGGUUCGUCCGUGGGGAAGGUUCAGAGACUACAAUGGCGUGGGUUUAGGGGUCGUACACCCCUGAGCUUAAGGUAUAGUCCAGCCCCAGCCGAAAGGUGGGCAAA
This 1451-nucleotide ribosomal RNA is filed under the name Pseudocamarosporium propinquum. Its description in RNAcentral is "bacterial SSU rRNA". It matches the Rfam family "Eukaryotic small subunit ribosomal RNA", at positions 57 to 1566 of the family's 1831-position model. The record is from RNAcentral. Lineage: Eukaryota; Fungi; Ascomycota; Dothideomycetes; Pleosporales; Didymosphaeriaceae.